AUCCUUUUGUAGUUCAUAAGUAUGAUGAUUGGGUGUUCAUGCGCCUGCGUGAUCUGUGCCUCCCUCAAACCUUGUUACGACAUCGGCACAUUACCUGACGUGAAA
RNAcentral lists this small nucleolar RNA (105 nucleotides) under Sus scrofa (pig). RNAcentral's name for it is "Small nucleolar RNA U13 (ENSSSCG00050037804.1, ENSSSCG00060027119.1, ENSSSCG00180034281.1)". It matches the Rfam family "Small nucleolar RNA U13". RNAcentral also lists the same sequence under 1 other name. The record is from RNAcentral. Lineage: Eukaryota; Metazoa; Chordata; Mammalia; Artiodactyla; Suidae.